This 72-nucleotide transfer RNA is filed under the name Ovis aries (sheep). It matches the Rfam family "tRNA". From Rfam's summary of the family: Transfer RNA (tRNA) molecules are approximately 80 nucleotides in length. Their secondary structure includes four short double-helical elements and three loops (D, anti-codon, and T loops). Lineage: Eukaryota; Metazoa; Chordata; Mammalia; Artiodactyla; Bovidae. The record is from Rfam by way of RNAcentral.
UCCCUGGUGGCUUAGAUGGUGAAGAAUCUGCCUGCAGUGCAGGAGACCUGGGUUCGAUCCCUAGGUUGGGAA